Long non-coding RNA from Cephus cinctus (wheat stem sawfly), 1155 nucleotides. RefSeq lists it as uncharacterized. The record is from RefSeq and is a predicted model, not a curated record. Lineage: Eukaryota; Metazoa; Arthropoda; Insecta; Hymenoptera; Cephidae. The transcript has 7 exons.
GUACAUACAGGAUGUGGCAAUUCUAAAUGUUCGAGCGAGACGAUCCUUCUCCACGCGAUGAGAAUUAGAGAAGUGAAGGAAAUGUCGAGGACGUUUAUUUCUUAGAGAAAACUCAACGGGACUUGUCAAUUUACGAAGGGAACCACGUGUCGUUAUACAUAAUGAGAAAUAACGUAACGCCAUAACCUAUCCUGUGCUAUUCCGCUGUGGCAAGAAUGCCGGCACUUGGAAGACAUCCUAGUAGUACGAUAAUGCGGAAGGCGAUCACGUCGUCCCCUCACGUUUUCCAUCUUCACGCGGUGAUAGACGUGAAUCUACUCGGAAGUGUAAAAAAGCCGGAAAGAAUGCCAUAGUGGGCGAUUCUGUACGGGGUGUGGUAUCACUGCAUAGAAAUUUAUAUGGCUGUAGAAUAAUACCGUCCACGCAUAUGGUGGGCCUUAUCUUACAAACUCCUGAUCGAUGAAUUCGAUAUCCUGCUUCGGAAGACGAUGAUAACCAUGAAGUCGUCAAAGUCACACUUCAAUAUUUCAUACGACCUUCAAGAUGCAAUAGGGCGGCUGUUCAAAUUGAUAUAAUAAGAUCGUCCAAGGAUAUUACUUAUUCAAUGUAACUGGUAUACUUCUCUUCCUUACCCUCUAUACGAGCAGAAACGUUCCUUUCGUCCUCUUAUCUGCUACAUUAGUAUAGAUAGCCUUGCCGUUCGCGAUGCUGAGAUACGCAGCUUUCUCUACUUUCGCUUAUGCGACAUUUUAAGGUGGUGUAUCCCUGUGUAGUUUGCAGACAGACUAUUUAUCGCGCGGUAAGGUGGCCGUUAAAAGGAUGUAUACGAAUUUUGCGUGUCAUCCAUUAAUAAGACUCCUUCGAACAGUGACGUGCAGCCUUUCAUCGUCGAGUUAACAAAUAAUGAGUUACAAAAUCAGCCAUUGUUUCUGAGAACCGUGGACAUCUUGUUCAUCACUGGGAAACCAACGAAGGCCAUAUCAAAAACAUACGACCAGUCCUUUCGCUUAUGUCAGGAGUCAACUAGGUCUUUGGUCGUGGAACUGAUCGUAUUUCAAUAUUCGGAUAGCGGUAACACAGUCAAGUUUAUCCAGAGGUACCAACUAUGAAAAACAAUACAGGUAACACAAGAUACAUAAAAUACAAUAGAAGAAU